This 61-nucleotide ribosomal RNA is filed under the name Tetraploa endophytica. RNAcentral's name for it is "partial 28S ribosomal RNA". Lineage: Eukaryota; Fungi; Ascomycota; Dothideomycetes; Pleosporales; Tetraplosphaeriaceae. The record is from RNAcentral.
CUUUGACCUCGGAUCAGGUAGGGAUACCCGCUGAACUUAAGCAUAUCAAUAAGGCGGAGGA